This 307-nucleotide ribosomal RNA is filed under the name uncultured bacterium. RNAcentral describes it as "bacterial SSU rRNA". It matches the Rfam family "Bacterial small subunit ribosomal RNA", at positions 28 to 334 of the family's 1533-position model. The record is from RNAcentral.
GACGAGCGCUGGCAGCGUGCCUAACACAUGCAAGUCGAACGGGGUGAUUUCCUUCGGGGAAUCACUUAGUGGCGAACGGGUGAGUAACGCGUGAGAAACCUGCCUUUCAGUGGGGGACAACAGUUGGAAACGACUGCUAAUACCGCAUAACGUAUUUUAGGGCAUCCUUUAAAUACCAAAGCUUUAUGUGCUGAAAGAUGGCCUCGCGUCUGAUUAGCUAGAUGGCGGGGUAACGGCCCACCAUGGCGACGAUCAGUGGCCGGUCUGAGAGGAUGAACGGCCACAUUGGGACUGAGAUACGGCCCAG